Molecule: ribosomal RNA, 396 nt
Filed under: Karlingia lutheri
Lineage: Eukaryota; Metazoa; Platyhelminthes; Dolichomicrostomida; Dolichomacrostomidae
Description: partial 16S ribosomal RNA
Rfam family: Bacterial large subunit ribosomal RNA
Source: RNAcentral
GCUUAAAUAUUAGUCAACGGCCUUCCAUAGUGGAAGCUAAGGUAGCAUAAUUAAUUGCUUCUUAAUUGGUUGCUUGUCUGAAAGGGAUAAUUGAUAAUUUUUUUCUUUUUUUUUUAAUGAAUUUUCUUGUUAGUAAAAAUGCUAGCAUAAAAUAAAAGACGAGAAGACCCCAAAAUUUUUCAUAGAAAUAAAAAAUUUAUGUUUAAUGGGGAAUUUAGCCUUAAGGAUUAAUGGCUUGUAGAGAUAAUGGAGUAUAAGUUACUUUGGGGAUAACAGGGUAAUAUAAAUUAGAGCACGCAUUAAAAUUUAUGUUUUCCACCUCGAUGUUGAAUUAAAGUAAAGGUUACUAUUGUAGAUGGAGUAAUUUUGGGCCUGUUCGGCCUAGGCAACUUUACA